CCCUUAGAUGUUCUGGGCCGCACGCGCGCUACACUGACGAAUGCAACGAGCUUAUAACCUUGGCCGAAAGGUCUGGGUAAUCUCCAAAUUUCGUCGUGAUGGGGAUAGAUUAUUGCAAUUAUUAAUCUUCAACGAGGAAUGCCUAGUAAGCGCAAGUCAUCAGCUUGCGUUGAUUACGUCCCUGCCCUUUGUACACACCGCCCGUCGCUGCUACCGAUUGAAUGGUCCGGUGAAGCGUUCGGACCGUGGCCUUUGGACGGUUCGCCGUCUGUUGGCUGCGGGAAGUUCGUUAAACCUUAUCAUUUAGAGGAAGGAGAAGUCGUAACA
Molecule: ribosomal RNA, 327 nt
Filed under: uncultured eukaryote
Lineage: Eukaryota
Description: partial 18S ribosomal RNA
Rfam family: Eukaryotic small subunit ribosomal RNA
Source: RNAcentral